GUAUCUGGCUCAGGAUGAACGCUAGCUACAGGCUUAACACAUGCAAGUCGAGGGGCAGCAUGACCUAGCAAUAGGUUGAUGGCGACCGGCGCACGGGUGAGUAACACGUAUCCAACCUACCGGUUAUUCCGGGAUAGCCUUUCGAAAGAAAGAUUAAUACCGGAUAGUAUAACGAGAAGGCAUCUUUUUGUUAUUAAAGAAUUUCGAUAACCGAUGGGGAUGCGUUCCAUUAGUUUGUUGGCGGGGUAACGGCCCACCAAG
RNAcentral lists this ribosomal RNA (261 nucleotides) under uncultured bacterium. RNAcentral describes it as "partial 16S ribosomal RNA". It matches the Rfam family "Bacterial small subunit ribosomal RNA", at positions 15 to 272 of the family's 1533-position model. The record is from RNAcentral.